This 367-nucleotide ribosomal RNA is filed under the name uncultured organism. Its description in RNAcentral is "bacterial LSU rRNA". It matches the Rfam family "Bacterial large subunit ribosomal RNA", at positions 2099 to 2465 of the family's 2925-position model. The record is from RNAcentral.
CUUUACUGUAACCUGGAAUUGGGUUCGGGCUUUGCUUGCGCAGGAUAGGUGGGAGACUAUGAAGCUGCCCUUGUGGGGGCAGUGGAGUCAUCAGUGAGAUACCACUCUGUCAAGGCUAGAAUUCUAACCGUCUGCCGUUAUCCGGCGACGGAACAGUAUCAGGUGGGCAGUUUGACUGGGGCGGUCGCCUCCUAAAUGGUAACGGAGGCGCGCAAAGGUUCCCUCAGGCUGGUUGGAAAUCAGCCGAAGAGUGUAAAGGCAGAAGGGAGCUUGACUGCAAGAGCAACAACUCAAGCAGGGACGAAAGUCGGCCUUAGUGAUCCGACGGCGCUGAGUGGAAGGGCCGUCGCUCAACGGAUAAAAGUUA